UACAGGGGGUGCAAACGUUGCUCGGAAUCAUUGGGCGUAAAGCGCACGUAGGCGGUUCGUUAUGUCGGAUGUGAAAGCCCUUGGCUUAACCGAGGAAGUGCAUCCGAAACUGGCGAGCUAGAGUACUAAAGAGGAUCGCGGAAUUCACGGUGUAGAGGUGAAAUUCGUAGAUAUCGGGAGGAACACCGGUGGCGAAGGCGGCGAUCUGGGUAGAUACUGACGCUGAGGUGCGAAAGCGUGGGGAGCAAACAGG
RNAcentral lists this ribosomal RNA (253 nucleotides) under uncultured bacterium. RNAcentral describes it as "partial 16S ribosomal RNA". It matches the Rfam family "Bacterial small subunit ribosomal RNA", at positions 524 to 776 of the family's 1533-position model. The record is from RNAcentral.